This is a non-coding RNA of Cavia porcellus (domestic guinea pig), 458 nucleotides long. The record is from the annotation of a RefSeq genome assembly. Lineage: Eukaryota; Metazoa; Chordata; Mammalia; Rodentia; Caviidae.
UUGGACACAGCAUGGACAUGAGGGCUCCUGCUCAGCUCCUAGGGCUCUUGCUGCUCUGCCUCCCAGGUUUCAGAUGUGACAUUCAGAUGACCCAGUCUCCAUCUUCUCAUUCUGCAUCUGUAGGAGACGUUGUUACCAUCAAUUGCAAGGCCAGUCAUAACAUAGGCAGCUAUUUAGCCUGGUAUCAACAGAAACCAGGGAAAGAGCCUAAAUUUCUGAUAUAUUAUGCAUCUAGAUUAACAUCUGUGAUCCCCUCCAGGUUCAGUGGCAGUGGAUCUGGGACAGACUUCACUCUCACCAUCAGCAGCCUGCAGCCUGAAGAUGUUCUAACUUAUUUCUGUCAGCAGCAUAAUAGUUACCCUCUCACAGUGAUACAAGCCAUAACAAAAACUACCCAGAGAAGCAGAAGUGUGAGGCUGGGCAGCCCCAUUGCUCUUUCUGACACCUUUAGCUGUUGA